GCUGGAAUGGUAAACAGGAGGCAGAGUGCAAGAAUGAAACUACCCAGGGAACAACGUCCUACAAAGAGAACUGUGCCCAGGAGUUGGGGCAGUGGUCUGCAUUGAGUGGUGACCCACGAUGGAGCAAAUGGCUGGUGAAGAGCCUAGGAUGCCGUGGGGACCUGGGAAGAGCACGUUACUUCCAACUAGGAGGAGGACAACUCAGAAGGUGAGGAUUUUACACAUCUUCAGGGUACAAGGAAAAGGAAGAGGGUCCUGCCAGAGCAAUAUUUUUCCAGCACUACUGGACUGCCACAUUGGAAAGGUCAAGAACUGAAGCCCUUUCGAGGCCUACCAUUCCCAGCUCCGUUCUGCCAGAUGGAAAGAAUUUCAGAAAUGAUGGAAUAACUGGGGGAAUGUAAAUGAAGUACACAGUU
Delphinapterus leucas (beluga whale) is the source of this 416-nucleotide non-coding RNA. The record is from RefSeq and is a predicted model, not a curated record. NCBI's taxonomy places the organism in Eukaryota, Metazoa, Chordata, Mammalia, Artiodactyla, Monodontidae.